GUGGCUUCGGCCAUCAGUGGCGAACGGGUGCGUAACACGUGAGCAACCUGCCCCUGGGCGGGGGAUAACCCGGGGAAACCCGGGCUAAUACCGCAUGCGCUCUCCGGCUCCGUGGAGCGGGAGAGGAAAGGUGCCGCAAGGCACUGCGCAGGGAGGGGCUCGCGGCCUAUCAGCUGGUUGGUGAGGUAACGGCUCACCAAGGCGACGACGGGUAGGGGGUCUGAGAGGAUGGCCCCCCACAUUGGGACUGAGAUACGGCCCAGACUCCUACGGGAGGCAGCAGUGGGGAAUCUUGCGCAAUGGCCGAGAGGCUGACGCAGCGACGCCGCGUGCGGGAGGACGGUCUUCGGAUUGUAAACCGCUGUCGGGAGGGACGAAUGUCCGCGGGAGGCAAUGCCCGCGGCUUGACGGUACCUCCAGAGGAAGCACCGGCUAACUCCGUGCCAGCAGCCGCGGUAAUACGGAGGGUGCGAGCGUUGUUCGGAAUUAUUGGGCGUAAAGCGCGCGUAGGCGGCUCUUUAAGUCUCACUGUGAAAGACCGGGGCUCAACCCCGCAGUAAGCAGGGGAUACUGGAGGGCUGGAGACAGGGAGAGGCGAGUGGAAUUCCGGGUGUAGCGGUGGAAUGCGUAGAGAUCCGGAAGAACACCAGAGGCGAAGGCGACUCGCUGGCUCUGACCUGACGCUGAGGUGCGAAAGCGUGGGGAGCGAACAGGAUUAGAUACCCUGGUAGUCCACGCCGUAAACGAUGGGCACUAGAUGCCGGCGGGAUCGACCCCGUCGGUGUCGGAGCUAACGCGUUAAGUGCCCCGCCUGGGGAGUACGGCCGCAAGGCUGAAACUCAAAGGAAUUGACGGGGGCCCGCACAAGCGGUGGAGCAUGUGGUUUAAUUCGAAGCAACGCGA
RNAcentral lists this ribosomal RNA (903 nucleotides) under uncultured bacterium. RNAcentral describes it as "bacterial SSU rRNA". It matches the Rfam family "Bacterial small subunit ribosomal RNA", at positions 74 to 964 of the family's 1533-position model. The record is from RNAcentral.